GUGCACGGUGCAGCCGGGCCAUGGGUAGCGCUGGUGCAGGUGGGCUAGGCAGUGCACGGUGCAGCCGGGCCAUGGGUAGCGCUGGUGCAGGUGGGCUAGGCAGUGCACGGUGCAGCCGGGCCAUGGGUAGCGCUGGUGCAGGUGGGCUAGGCAGUGCACGGUGCAGCCGGGCCAUGGGUAGCGCUGGUGCAGGUGGGCUAGGCAGUGCACAGUGCAGCUGGGCCAUGGGUGGCGCUUUUUCAGGUAGCCUGGGCAGUGCAUGGUGCAGGUAGCCUGGGCAGUGCAUGGUGCAGCUGGGCCAUGGGUUGCCACUGGUGCUGUUAGGCUAGGCAGUGCAUGGUGCAGGUGGGCUAGGCAGUGCAAGGUGCAGCCAGGGCAUGGGUGGCGCUGGUGCAGGUGGGCUAGGCAGUGCAUGGUGCAGUGGGCCAUGGGUAGCACCAGUACAUGGUGCAGUGAGGCCAGGUACUGCACUAGUGCUUGGUGCAGCCAGGUGACAGGUCAUCUGUUCAGCAAGGCUAGGGAUUGCAGCAUCGAUGUGUGGAACAGUGGGACUAUGGACAGCACUGGUGCUUGGUGCAGCAAGGACAAGGGGUUUUACCACACCUGUUGCGUUGAUGGCACUGAUGCCCCAGGAAGAGGCUAAUUGGAUUGAUGAGGUUUCUGGCUGCUCUGGCUCUGGAGUUGCUGAGGUCAGUUGUGCUGGGUGUCUGUGCAGAGCACCAUUCUGGCCCAGUUCAGGACUAUGUGGCCACCAUGGGAUUAUCCCAGGUGAUUUUUGGUUCCCCUGUCUGGCUCUGGUGACAGCUUUUGACAAUAAAGCUUUUAAUACUGUCUUGCAUGACCUUCUCAUAAACAAAUCAGGGAAAUGCAGCCUAGAUGGAGCUACUACAAGGUGGGUGCAUAACUGUUCGGAAAACCAUUCCCCGAGAGUAGUUAUCAGUGGUUCACAGUCAGGCUGGUCCCACAGGGAUCAGUUCUGGGUCUGGUUCUGAUCAAUAUCUUCAUUAAUGAUUUAGAUUAAUGGCACAGAGAGUUCACUUAUAAAGUCUGUGGACAAUACCAAGCUGGGAGGGCUUGCAGGUGUUUAGGAGGAUAGGAUUAAAAUUCAAAAUGAUCUGGACAAACUGGAGAAAUGGUCUGAAGUAAAUAGGAUGAAAUUCAAAGUACUCCACUUAGGCAGGAACAAUCAGCUGCACACAUACAAAAUGGGAAAUGACUGCCUAGGAAGGAGCACUGCGGAAAGGGUUCCGGGGGGUCAUAGUGGACCAUAAGCUAAAUAUGUGUCAACAGUGUAACACAGUUACCAAAAAAGCGAACAUCAUUCUGGGAUGUAUUAGCAGGAGUGUUGUAAGCAAGACACGGAAGUAAUUCUUCCGCUCUACUCUGCUCUGAUUAGGCCUCAGCUGCAGUAUUGUGUCCAUUUCUGGGCACCACGUUUCAGGAAGGGUGUGGACAAAUUGGAGAGAGUCCAGAGAAGAUCAAUAAAAAUUACUAAAAGUCUAGAAAACAGGACCUAUGAGGGAAGAUUGAAAAAAUUGGGUUUGUUUAGUCUGGAAAAGAGAAGACCUUACAGGGGACAUAACAGUUUUCAAGUAUGUAAAAGGUUGUUACAAGAAGGAAGAAUUUUUU
Molecule: long non-coding RNA, 1629 nt
Organism: Gopherus flavomarginatus (Mexican gopher tortoise)
Lineage: Eukaryota; Metazoa; Chordata; Testudines; Testudinidae
Exons: 4
Source: RefSeq, a predicted model, not a curated record